AUGGCAGGCAGAGGGAAGGUGCCCGGCAGAGGUGGUGACUGCUGGUGUCCCAAGCAGGGAGCUCGCAGCUGGGACACGGGGUGGCUUUGCCUAGGUGGAGGGUUUGGAAGGAGCCCAGUGCGGGCAGGCAGCCGCCCUGUGCAGUCCCCUGCUGCUGCCCCUGCAUCCUCCCAGGAUGCUGCUGCACCCGUCCGGAGCCAGGUGACCCCACUCCGCGCCGGCACCCACGCCGCCGCCGGACACCUCGGCACAGAGCAGGCCGGAGCUACGUCCCCGGCUCCGAGGGCUCCUGUCCGUCUUUCCGGUGCCAUGCCGGCACGGAGGCCUGCUGCCUUCCAGGAGGGCCGAGGCCGGCAGGGUCGGCCUGCGCCGGGGAUGCUGCCGUCGCCCUCCUCCGCCGGGGCCGGGCCGGGAGAGGCUGCGAGCCGAGGGCUCGUGUUCCCCUCGCUGCGGCGCGGUAUCUCCUUGAAGCGUGACAGCCGCGAUUGCUUCCAGAUGUGCACCGCCGCGGCUCCAGCAGGCCGGGGUGGAUGUGGUAAGCGCCGCGAUGGAAACCAAAAACCGGACCAGAUGUACCGUGUCAGCGUCAGCAGCGCGCACAUCUGGCUCCCGCGCACCCGGGCACCGCCAGAACGGGCGGCCCCCGUUUCUCCGGCGCCGAACUCGUCCGCGUGCGGCUCUGCCGAGCGCGGAGCCGGGCCCGCGGGGAGGAUGCCCCGGCCGGCACGACGCAUCCAUGCGCUCGGGCAGGAGAUGGGACCCGCCACCGCCGUGGGGGCUGCAGGCAGCGAUCGCUGGGGUUGCCACGUGCGUGUCUGGGAGCCCCACGGAGCGCCGGCGCUCCAAAGGGAAGAUCCCGGCGCGCUCCGAAGGGAAGAUCCCGGCGCGCUCCAAAGGGAAGAUCCCGGGCUGGGCCCUGCCGCGCACCCGCUGCCCCCCCGGGCUGAGCUUCCCUGGGCACCGCGGGAACGCGACCAGCGACGCUCCGGCUGCGGCCCCGGCUGA
RNAcentral lists this long non-coding RNA (1005 nucleotides) under Apteryx haastii (Great spotted kiwi). Its description in RNAcentral is "lncRNA (ENSAHAG00000001205.1)". The record is from RNAcentral. Lineage: Eukaryota; Metazoa; Chordata; Aves; Apterygiformes; Apterygidae.